This 259-nucleotide unclassified non-coding RNA is filed under the name Hevea brasiliensis (rubber tree). The record is from RNAcentral. Lineage: Eukaryota; Viridiplantae; Streptophyta; Magnoliopsida; Malpighiales; Euphorbiaceae.
CCGUACAAUCCCUUAACCCUGGUCUUUCAUUGAAGCUAAACCGAUGCUUGGUCGGAGAAGCACCGAUCAAAGAAGCCACCACACGCCACCGGUUGAUAUCAAGAUUAAGGAUAAUCUUGACCUUUCUUACUGCCCUCUUGAGGCGGCUAAGCAGAGACCAGUUGUCCAUACCCAUAAUAAGACUAGAAAUGGUGCGUAUCUAAAUUCUUUCUUUUGUGUGUGAAUUUAUGGUAGAAAAUUGUUUAUGACGAUGAAAACU